RNAcentral lists this long non-coding RNA (1035 nucleotides) under Panax ginseng (ginseng). RNAcentral's name for it is "long non-coding RNA (PGIN_LNC006862)". The record is from RNAcentral. Lineage: Eukaryota; Viridiplantae; Streptophyta; Magnoliopsida; Apiales; Araliaceae.
UUUGAUAGAUACCCGAGAAAUUUGAGUAUCUUUGAUAGAUACUCGAGAAAAUAAGUUCAUGAUCUUAUAUGACCGCACAGCAAAAUUUUAAACCUUUUACUCUUGUGAGUGGUGAAUUGGGUAGUAUGUGAUAUGUGUGAAUGGUGUAAGCUAUUUGGUAUACGGUGUAAGGUGUAAGGUGAAUUUCGGGGACGAAAUUCUUAGAAGGAGGGGUGAAUGUGACAACCCGAGAAUUUAGACCAUUUAUUAAAAUCUUAAAUGAUUGUUUUGCUGCGGAAUCAAGUAAGACUGAGCAGAAUAACCUUUUAUAUAAAGGGAAUAUUUUAAUUUGAGUAUCUUUGAUAGAUACCCGAAAAAUUUGAGUAUCUUUGAUAGAUACCCGAGAAAUUUGAGUAUCUUUGAUAGAUACUCGAGAAAAUAAGUUCAUGAUCUUAUAUGACCGCACAGCAAAAUUUUAAACCUUUUACUCUUGUGAGUGGUGAAUUGGGUAGUAUGUGAUAUGUGUGAAUGGUGUAAGCUAUUUGGUAUACGGUGUAAGGUGUAAGGUGAAUUUCGGGGACGAAAUUCUUAGAAGGAGGGGUGAAUGUGACAACCCGAGAAUUUAGACCAUUUAUUAAAAUCUUAAAUGAUUGAUUUAAGGUCAAAUAUUAGACCUAGAUAGAAAAUAAGUGUAUGCGUUUGAUGUUAUUGGGAUUGAAUUUUGAGAAUUUCAAAAAUUCGGUGAAGGAUAUAGGUGAAUUAUUCAGGAUUAAGUGUUUAUGUGAUUAAGUUCUGUGUAUAUGGUUAAUGAUGUGUUCAGAAUGUGGUUAAGGGUCAAGGGUUGACCAGAUAAAUUAUAUCUGUGUCAAACCCUAAGAAUAUAUUAAGAACGACAAUGUUCGAUUAGAAAACCCUAACGUCUGAUAAGAAACCCUAGAAAUCGGUUCUGCAAACCCUAGUUUCAGUUCUGGGAAUCCGAAACCCUAAUUCGGUGCAUGAAACCCUAAAUCGGGAACUUAAUGGCAUAAGUGUAAAUAAUUAAAAGAUUAAUUANNN